Molecule: long non-coding RNA, 4807 nt
Organism: Parus major (Great Tit)
Lineage: Eukaryota; Metazoa; Chordata; Aves; Passeriformes; Paridae
Exons: 3
Source: RefSeq, a predicted model, not a curated record
UUCAAACUGGUGAUAAAUAUUAAAAAACCAAGAUGAGGCACAGUGUGCUAUUAAAUAAAAUUGCUCUGGCAAUGAAUAUCAUUGAACAUUUAAGCAGAUAGUGAUUCUACCCCAUCUGCGAGAUGAUUUCUUCUAUAUGAAGAUGUGGUUUUCCAUGCUGUAGCUACCUAAUUAGGACUUGGGAUGAGGCCUCAUCACACCCCUUGCUUCCUCCUAUGGGAGAAAGUUCUCCAUGAACUUCUCCAGUAUGAGCCUUUCCUGUGGGCUGCAGUUCUGCAUGAGCAUGUAGCAGAGAACAGUGAAAAGACAUGGUUGGAUAUCAGCAAAUCAUUAAGGCUGGAAAAGACCUCGAAGAUAUUGUGAUGCUUGUAUAUUAUACACUUCUAUGACUUCCAGGCCAUUACUUUGAGCAGUUUGUAUUAUGCUGACAAGAUGAGUCUUACUCAGUUUUCUUCUUUGGCUCCCCUUUCUUUUGAAUUGGAGACUUAACUUCAGGAAAUAGUCAUGGAAAUCAUAAAAGUGUUGGUUGAAAGGGAUCUCAGAAGAUCACAUACAGCAAUCUUGUUAAUGAAGGAUUAUCACUAACACUGGAGCUUGUCUUUCUUGGUUUUGUCCGGUGCAAUUUUUUCAAAACUUUGAGGAUGGAGAUCACAUAAUUGCUCCGGGCAGUUUCAGUGUGAAGUUGUUUUUUAUCCAGUCUGAACCUUCCAAACUGCAGUUCAUGGUGCAUUAUGGUAUGAAUUAAAAUUUUGUCUGACAUAAUGUUUUGGCUUCCCUUUGGAUUUCUUUUGCCAGCCUUACAGAAUUGGUGGAUUAGCUUUAGUGAAGAUUUCAUUAAAAAAAUGAACAGAGCACUCUAUGGAAUAGAAGUAUGAGAUCCAUUAUGUUUUAGCUUUUUAUUGCAUAGGAAUAAAACAAAAGCCAAGGUUUGCUUUUAUUCAUGCCACAUUAUAGUUCAUUGUUCAUCAUAAAUCAACAGGUUAAAAACAUUUUUAAAAAGAAAAAAAAAAUCAUUAUUUACAGGAAAAAAAUAAUAAGGAAUAAGUUAGGUGUAAAUUUAAUUUGACAUUAUAUCCAUAAAAAUAUGCCAGUCUUUUUAAUCUGCUUUCAGUUUUCUUUGAAAUGGGCCAAUUUUUACAUCCUCCCUAGAAAUAACAAAACCUUGUUAUCAUAGGCAAUUGAGAAGGGAGUUUUAUGUAAUAUAUAUCCCCACAUCAGCUUGAUAAUCAGUGCUUCAGGCAACUGGGUUCAGUUUACACACAUAAUACUUUGGGGGAGGUUGUAGAAUUAUUUCAGUAUAGAGACUUUCUGAUGAAGUAGAAAAUUUAUUAAAAAGUCAUUAGAGAAAUAGAAGUAUAACUGCUGUAGAAUAAAUAUGGCAGAUGACACAAAGAAAACUAAUUUAAAUGAGAGCAUGAAAAAGAUUUUUUUAAGUGAAUUUUUUUUGGGAUAAAUUAUGUAAAAGCAGUAAUGUACAUAGAACUGUGAACAUAAUAGGAUUGUGCAGUCUGUAAUUCAAGGUUUUGCUUUUGAGGAGUUUUUCUAAGGACACUCGGACUACAUAAUUUACACAGAAAUAGCUUUGUUCGCAGUCGCAAUCUUGGUAAUGCACUCUAAUAGUGUGCUAGAUAUCCAGUUCCACCAUGCAAAAAGAGCACAUAUCUAAACACAUUUUGAUUUAGCAAUAGAGUUUAGCAUCUUCUCAAGUUACCAUCAGUUUGCAUCCACAUGUAAUAGUGCAACAAUGACUUUUAGAAUAUAGGGAAAAAUUGUGCAAAACAAAAUAAACAAACAGAAGAACUGAUUUAGAGAUUUUUGACCCAGAUCAAACUUAAAGAAUGUUUCAGCUUCUAGUCAUCAAUUAAUAAAUUCUUAUUUCUUUUUAAUCCUUUUUUGAAUUAAUUAUGGGAUAAUAUUCCAUAGCAAUGGAUUUUCAGUGUAAACUUCAUGCAGUAUGCAGAAUUUAUUCCUUUAGGAUUUUUUUAGCCUAUAAUUUGCACAGUAAAUCUACUGUGUGACUUUAGUAUGUAAAUCAUGGGAAGCAGUCCAUUCUCUCUCUUCUUUCCCCUCCUAUCUGGAACUUUAUAGAGUUUUCUGGAGAUACUGCUCUUUUCUCCUUUCCAAGUUGAAAAAUUCUCUUUCCCCAUGCAGAAGAUAUUCCAGGCUUGUGGUGUCUAUUCUUGCAACCCUCUUACAGAAAUUGGGUCAUUGAUGAUAGGAGUCAGCAGAAAUGAUUGGGUACUAAUAAAAGAAUUUUAAAUGCUGAUUAGUUUGACAUUCUUGGAGAGACAAGAAAGAGAAACUAAAGACAAGGGUACUGAAGUACUGUUGCUGGAGUUAUUAAGAAGACAUAAAGGCAAAAGAGAUAACUUUGGACUGAAGAGCUGUCAUUGCCUAAGAGAAAUGACAUGUGGUAAAAUGCACAAUCAGUAUUACUGUUAUAAUUAACUACAGUUGAAUACAGAUAGUGUAUAUGGCUGUUAUAUCCAAAAAGGCAUUGAAAUGUGCAGUGUUCAACUGUAAAUAUUGUUCUGGAUGUCAAAAGACAGCAAGAAACAUAAGGACUAAUAAUGCUGGAUAGGCUGUGUUGAAUUUGUAAGAUUUCUUAAAGUCUUUCAUUCCUCCUUUUUUUUGGACACUACUCAGUAUUUGUAAUGAAUUUUCAUCAAGUUUUUAUGUCAUUCCCUGGAGAAAUAAAACUGCUUUGAAUGUAAUAUGUCAUAUUUUUUCCCUUUUGUAAUAGUAUUGAAUACUUUAAGGAAUAAAUUUAAAAGUAAAUCUUUUCAUUAUCAAAGGAGUUUCAGUUAUUAAGCAAACUACUUAUUUAUAUAUUUAUUGUAUUUCCUAUAGAGGAGAUAAACCAUUAUUAUAGGAAUUAGCAGUAAUGAUUAACCUGGUACAUUUUCUCAUUAUUACCAUUAAACUUAGCAUUGAUGCUGGUUAAACACAUACGCCUAAGUAAAAAUGGAAAUGUCUUUUCAGUUUCCUAAUUUGAAUUCCCAAGGCAAAGUUUAAUGGGACAGCUGUGUAGGUGGAUAUGAGAUAUUGAUUGAAAGGGAAAAGGACAAAUCUUUUUGGUAGCAUUAAAAUGACACCUCUUAUGAAAGAGAUUUCCUGUCGUACAGAGGGAAUUUAAAUUAAGCAUAUUAAGUGCCUCUGUGGUGUGAGGAAACUUUGCCAUGUAAAGAGAAUGUAAAGAGAUGACUUUCUGUAUGUUAGAGUCACUGAGCAUAAGAAUAUGAAAUUUUGAGAAAAAGUCAGUAGAAUAAUGCACAAUUCUCAGUAAUAAGAUUCUGUCACUUGUGCAUCAAUAUGUUGUGUGUAUCAAUAUCAACUAGUUGUGUGUUCCACAGAGAUUAUAUGGUAAAGUGAAUGAGGAUGGUAACUAAAGCAGUGAGACAGGAUUAUUCUAUCCUUGAUAUUAAGGAUAAGAAAGAAAACCAGAAAGACUACAGUGGAUAAACAUAAGACUAAAAGCACAUAAUAGCAUAUUUAAGCAUGCUUCCUAAUUAACUUUGGAAAUCAACAUACAAAGCAGCAGAACAUCUUGCACAUUUUCUGUUAUUUACUUGCAUUAGCCACCAGUACUACCUGUUAACCUUGUAACUUACUCUGAUUCUUCUGGAAGCUGAUUCCUCCUAAAUGUAAUGAAGCAUAAGGAGAUCAUAGCUAGAAAAACUAAGAGUUUUAUGUUACCUAAGUCUCCAACUUAGACCUAAGUGCUUGACCUUAAAACAAUUCAUAAUCUGACCCUUUAGAAAAGACAUUAAGGUCCCUUAAAUGUGAGAGAGAUAUUCAGAGACCUUAAAUUUACAGUUUGGCAUUUGAUAAUACAAUAUGAAACAUAAUUCAUAAUCUUUCAUCAGCUACUUGCAGUACACUGGAAUUGAUGAACUAACUUCACAUAUGGCAGGUGUCCUCUGCAUGAAUUUGCUCUCAACCAUUUUCGAUUUCUGGUUAAAAUUUUCCAAUGGAAGUGCAGACCCCUGCAAAGCUAAUUUAGCUGUUAACUGCUCUGGCAAUUGGGCCAUUUUUAUUUGCCUUUUGCAAAUAGCUGCCUGCUAAUCUACAUAACAAGAGGCAUUCACUGACCACAGGCUGAAGACAUUUUUAAGAGUUUCUUUAGGCUACACUUAAUUAUUUUAAAGGUUAUUUUAAUGGUUAAGAAACAUAUUUGCUUGAAUGGCUAAAAGAAGCAGAAAAGUAGUCCAAAGUUAUAUGUUUUACCUUUUGGAUCCACAGAUACCUUUUACUAAAUGGAGUAGCUCUCAAGUGCAUUCAGCUAAGAAAUAAAUUAUAUUGCCUAGAUAGUAGCAAUGAUGGAGAGUAAAAUGAGUCUAGACUCAUAUUGAUGAUGACUUAUGGUGUAGAAAAAGAAUGUGUGAUAUUUCCAAAAAUAUUUAUAGGUUUUUAUGGAAAGCAAGAGAGAUUGCAUCUGCAUGCAAGUAUCAAGUGUGUGCUAACAAACAGAUGAGACUUACAAGGUCUAGUGUUUGAAAUAAAGUGCUUGAAAAUUAGGUAGAUGUUUGUAAUACAGUGUUUGAAUACUGAGAGAAAAUUAUAUAGCCUCAUAAAUAACUUAAAAAUAGCUCACAUGAAGUUUGUUUUAGGAAAUGUAUCUGUGUUUAAAAGUUAAACUGUUAAGAAAUUCCCUCAUUUAUUUGUUUCUCUGGUAUGCUUAAUAUUAAUGAAAGUAAAGUACUCAUACAUCUACCUGUUCUGGAGAUGUUAAUACUGUUGUGAUUGUAAUAUUUAUUUGAAAUAUGUAUUUGAAAAUUCAGAGAAAUGGAUUACAAAAUAUAAGUGA